AGUAUUGUUAGGAUAAGAUUUAGAGUUAAAACAAAUUAUUCUAUUAAAUAGGAUUAUUAUCUUUUAAAUUUAAAUGAAUAGUAAAUAUAGGAUACGUUAGUUAUUAUUAACCUAGUUUAAUUAGGAUUUCUACCAUAAGCCUAUUUAAAGGCAUUCAGAUUUGGAAUAAAUAAGAAUCAAUUAUUAUAAAAAAUAAACUUGCGACUUCGAGAACGAGCCCGUUUUUGUCUUCAUCAUAGGUCGAAAGAAAGGUUCUCCCGCGUCUAAGACCGUGUUAACCGAUCCAAGAACAAGGGACCAUAACAGAUGGUUUUAUAGUUCUGAAUUCAAAGAAUUUAGAGAAGCAAAGAAGAAAAAAUCUGAAUAUUUUUCAUUCUGAAUCUGAAGAGAAAAUGAGAUAUUUAUACAAAUAAUUGACAGUUGUAACUGGAACUGCCUAAAGUAAAUACAGCUGGAACUAAUAAAGAACUGCCUGAGGAAGUUACAGCUUGGCUAAUAGAGAUAGAGCUGGCACUAAAUCCAAAGCAGUUAGAUGACUGUGCUAAGCUAAAAGGCCCAGAUACUAUAAUACAUUAGUAUUCUUAAAACAUGGAAGUGCAAAUGAAUAUUUACUGUUGUUAACGGAACACAAAAAAAAGUUACAACCUAAAACUGCAAAACCGUCAUCAAUUAAGGUGUAAUCGUAAAAUAAUAAACGUGAGCAUCAAUCAAGUUGUGAAAAACCCAUUUCAAUGGAAACAUUGCUUUGAGAUCUUUUGAAGUGAAACUAACCAUAA
This 776-nucleotide long non-coding RNA is filed under the name Trifolium pratense (red clover). RNAcentral's name for it is "long non-coding RNA (TPRA_LNC002999)". The record is from RNAcentral. Lineage: Eukaryota; Viridiplantae; Streptophyta; Magnoliopsida; Fabales; Fabaceae.